AGAGUUUGAUCCUGGCUCAGGACGAACGCUGGCGGCGUGCCUAAUACAUGCAAGUAGAACGCUGAAGAGAGGAGCUUGCUCUUCUUGGAUGAGUUGCGAACGGGUGAGUAACGCGUAGGUAACCUGCCUUGUAGCGGGGGAUAACUAUUGGAAACGAUAGCUAAUACCGCAUAACAAUGGAUGACACAUGUCAUUUAUUUGAAAGGGGCAAUUGCUCCACUACAAGAUGGACCUGCGUUGUAUUAGCUAGUAGGUGAGGUAACGGCUCACCUAGGCGACGAUACAUAGCCGACCUGAGAGGGUGAUCGGCCACACUGGGACUGAGACACGGCCCAGACUCCUACGGGAGGCAGCAGUAGGGAAUCUUCGGCAAUGGGGGCAACCCUGACCGAGCAACGCCGCGUGAGUGAAGAAGGUUUUCGGAUCGUAAAGCUCUGUUGUAAGUCAAGAACGAGUGUGAGAGUGGAAAGUUCACACUGUGACGGUAGCUUACCAGAAAGGGACGGCUAACUACGUGCCAGCAGCCGCGGUAAUACGUAGGUCCCGAGCGUUGUCCGGAUUUAUUGGGCGUAAAGCGAGCGCAGGCGGUUAGAUAAGUCUGAAGUUAAAGGCUGUGGCUUAACCAUAGUUCGCUUUGGAAACUGUCAAACUUGAGUGCAGAAGGGGAGAGUGGAAUUCCAUGUGUAGCGGUGAAAUGCGUAGAUAUAUGGAGGAACACCGGUGGCGAAAGCGGCUCUCUGGUCUGUAACUGACGCUGAGGCUCGAAAGCGUGGGGAGCAAACAGGAUUAGAUACCCUGGUAGUCCACGCCGUAAACGAUGAGUGCUAGGUGUUAGACCCUUUCCGGGGUUUAGUGCCGUAGCUAACGC
This 868-nucleotide ribosomal RNA is filed under the name human gut metagenome. Its description in RNAcentral is "bacterial SSU rRNA". It matches the Rfam family "Bacterial small subunit ribosomal RNA", at positions 8 to 858 of the family's 1533-position model. The record is from RNAcentral.